GUGUAUCAUCUUACGAGAAUACAAUAUGGUAUAGAUAAUCCAGAAGAAGUCUGCAUAAAAGUCUUUGCCCAUAAGGAUAAUCCUAGAAUUCCGUAUGUCUUCUGGAUUUGGAGAAGUGCCGAUUUUCAAGCUUUGUGCUUGCCACUCCGGAGUCGGUCUUCCUCUUCACCAUUGGCAUACUUGGUGGCAAUCUCCAUCAUCCGACUCAGAGACAUAUCCCUGUUGGGGAACGUAGUAAUUUCAAAAAAUUUCCUACGAACACGCAAGAUCAUGGUGAUGCAUAGCAACGAGAGGGGAGAGUGUUGUCCACGUACCCUCGUAGACCGAAAGCGGAAGCGUUAA
Molecule: ribosomal RNA, 342 nt
Filed under: Triticum aestivum (bread wheat)
Lineage: Eukaryota; Viridiplantae; Streptophyta; Magnoliopsida; Poales; Poaceae
Description: partial small subunit ribosomal RNA
Source: RNAcentral